This 209-nucleotide ribosomal RNA is filed under the name uncultured bacterium. RNAcentral's name for it is "partial 16S ribosomal RNA". It matches the Rfam family "Bacterial small subunit ribosomal RNA", at positions 568 to 775 of the family's 1533-position model. The record is from RNAcentral.
CACGUAGGCGGACUAUUAAGUCAGGGGUGAAAUCCCGGGGCUCAACCCCGGAACUGCCUUUGAUACUGGUAGUCUCGAGUCCGGAAGAGGUGAGUGGAAUUCCGAGUGUAGAGGUGAAAUUCGUAGAUAUUCGGAGGAACACCAGUGGCGAAGGCGGGCUCACUGGUCCGGUACUGACGCUGAGGUGCGAAAGCGUGGGGAGCAAACAA